GAGUUUGAUCGUGGCUCAGAUUGAGCGCUGGCGGCAUGCCUUACACAUGCAAGUCGAACGGCAGCAUGAUCUAGCUUGCUAGAUUGAUGGCGAGUGGCGAACGGGUGAGUAAUACAUCGGAACGUGCCCUGUAGUGGGGGAUAACUAGUCGAAAGAUUAGCUAAUACCGCAUACGACCUGAGGGUGAAAGUGGGGGACCGCAAGGCCUCAUGCUAUAGGAGCGGCCGAUGUCUGAUUAGCUAGUUGGUGGGGUAAAGGCCCACCAAGGCGACGAUCAGUAGCUGGUCUGAGAGGACGAUCAGCCACACUGGGACUGAGACACGGCCCAGACUCCUACGGGAGGCAGCAGUGGGGAAUUUUGGACAAUGGGCGAAAGCCUGAUCCAGCAAUGCCGCGUGUGUGAAGAAGGCCUCGGUUGUAAGU
RNAcentral lists this ribosomal RNA (423 nucleotides) under uncultured microorganism. Its description in RNAcentral is "bacterial SSU rRNA". It matches the Rfam family "Bacterial small subunit ribosomal RNA", at positions 9 to 430 of the family's 1533-position model. The record is from RNAcentral.